RNAcentral lists this ribosomal RNA (1372 nucleotides) under uncultured bacterium. RNAcentral's name for it is "bacterial SSU rRNA". It matches the Rfam family "Bacterial small subunit ribosomal RNA", at positions 28 to 1381 of the family's 1533-position model. The record is from RNAcentral.
GAUGAACGCUGGCGGCGUGCCUAAUACAUGCAAGUCGAGCGAACGGACGAGAAGCUUGCUUCUCUGAUGUUAGCGGCGGACGGGUGAGUAACACGUGGAUAACCUACCUAUAAGACUGGGAUAACUUCGGGAAACCGGAGCUAAUACCGGAUAAUAUUUUGAACCGCAUGGUUCAAAAGUGAAAGACGGUCUUGCUGUCACUUAUAGAUGGAUCCGCGCUGCAUUAGCUAGUUGGUAAGGUAACGGCUUACCAAGGCAACGAUGCAUAGCCGACCUGAGAGGGUGAUCGGCCACACUGGAACUGAGACACGGUCCAGACUCCUACGGGAGGCAGCAGUAGGGAAUCUUCCGCAAUGGGCGAAAGCCUGACGGAGCAACGCCGCGUGAGUGAUGAAGGUCUUCGGAUCGUAAAACUCUGUUAUUAGGGAAGAACAUAUGUGUAAGUAACUGUGCACAUCUUGACGGUACCUAAUCAGAAAGCCACGGCUAACUACGUGCCAGCAGCCGCGGUAAUACGUAGGUGGCAAGCGUUAUCCGGAAUUAUUGGGCGUAAAGCGCGCGUAGGCGGUUUUUUAAGUCUGAUGUGAAAGCCCACGGCUCAACCGUGGAGGGUCAUUGGAAACUGGAAAACUUGAGUGCAGAAGAGGAAAGUGGAAUUCCAUGUGUAGCGGUGAAAUGCGCAGAGAUAUGGAGGAACACCAGUGGCGAAGGCGACUUUCUGGUCUGUAACUGACGCUGAUGUGCGAAAGCGUGGGGAUCAAACAGGAUUAGAUACCCUGGUAGUCCACGCCGUAAACGAUGAGUGCUAAGUGUUAGGGGGUUUCCGCCCCUUAGUGCUGCAGCUAACGCAUUAAGCACUCCGCCUGGGGAGUACGACCGCAAGGUUGAAACUCAAAGGAAUUGACGGGGACCCGCACAAGCGGUGGAGCAUGUGGUUUAAUUCGAAGCAACGCGAAGAACCUUACCAAAUCUUGACAUCCUUUGACAACUCUAGAGAUAGAGCCUUCCCCUUCGGGGGACAAAGUGACAGGUGGUGCAUGGUUGUCGUCAGCUCGUGUCGUGAGAUGUUGGGUUAAGUCCCGCAACGAGCGCAACCCUUAAGCUUAGUUGCCAUCAUUAAGUUGGGCACUCUAAGUUGACUGCCGGUGACAAACCGGAGGAAGGUGGGGAUGACGUCAAAUCAUCAUGCCCCUUAUGAUUUGGGCUACACACGUACUACAAUGGACAAUACAAAGGGCAGCGAAACCGCGAGGUCAAGCAAAUCCCAUAAAGUUGUUCUCAGUUCGGAUUGUAGUCUGCAACUCGACUACAUGAAGCUGGAAUCGCUAGUAAUCGUAGAUCAGCAUGCUACGGUGAAUACGUUCCCGGGUCU